AGUGUGAGUCGGUGUGAUUAGG
RNAcentral lists this microRNA (22 nucleotides) under Solanum tuberosum (potato). RNAcentral describes it as "stu-miR8032a-3p". The record is from miRBase by way of RNAcentral. Lineage: Eukaryota; Viridiplantae; Streptophyta; Magnoliopsida; Solanales; Solanaceae.